RNAcentral lists this ribosomal RNA (222 nucleotides) under Escherichia coli. RNAcentral describes it as "partial 23S ribosomal RNA". It matches the Rfam family "Bacterial large subunit ribosomal RNA", at positions 1124 to 1345 of the family's 2925-position model. The record is from RNAcentral. Lineage: Bacteria; Pseudomonadati; Pseudomonadota; Gammaproteobacteria; Enterobacterales; Enterobacteriaceae.
UAAAGAAAGCGUAAUAGCUCACUGGUCGAGUCGGCCUGCGCGGAAGAUGUAACGGGGCUAAACCAUGCACCGAAGCUGCGGCAGCGACACUAUGUGUUGUUGGGUCGGGGAGCGUUCUGUACGCCUGCGCAGGUGUCCUGUUAGGUAUGCUGGAGGUAUCAGAAGUUCGAGUGCUGACAUAAGUCACGAUAAAGCGGGUGAAAAGCCCGCUCGCCGGAAGAC